RNAcentral lists this ribosomal RNA (324 nucleotides) under uncultured Chloroflexota bacterium. Its description in RNAcentral is "bacterial SSU rRNA". It matches the Rfam family "Bacterial small subunit ribosomal RNA", at positions 29 to 351 of the family's 1533-position model. Lineage: Bacteria; Bacillati; Chloroflexota. The record is from RNAcentral.
AAUAAACGUUGGCGGUGCGCCUUAUGCAUGCAAGUCGAACGGGGUUAUGGUCUUCGGAUUGUAACCUAGUGGCGAACGGCUGAGUAACACGUAAGUAACCCACCUUGGAGUGAGAAAUAACUUGCCGAAAGGCGAGGUAAUGUCUCAUGUGGUAGUGGAGCGUAAGUUUCAUUACUAAAGCUUUCGGGCGCCCCAAGAGGGGCUCGCGUCUGAUUAGCUAGUUGGUAGGGUAAUGGCCUACCAAGGCGAUGAUCAGUAGCUGGUCUGAGAGGAUGGCCAGCCAGAUGGGGACUGGGACACGGCCCCAACUCCUACGGGUGGCAG